GUGACAUUCUCCGCGCCCAGGCCAUUUUUCAUAACGCCGCGGAUCGGCUUUUGUGCCUCUGAGGCGACUAAACAGAUGAAUAACGAGCAAAGUCUCCCGAAACUAGUUUGAAAGUUGGUUUCUGGCAAGAGGAAAGAAAAGGCUGCAACAUUAAAAGAAGAAUCAAAGUGUUAAAAGGACGCCCAAAAUGUAGUAUUGUGGCAGGUCGGGUUUCUAGCCAUGAAGUCCCUACGGAGAUGAAGAGUGGGAAGCAGUACAGUAACUGGUUGAAACCGUUCCACAAGGGAAAUUUCACUAGAUUUCAGAGAUACUGAUAGAUUACAAAUACUCUGGAAAUCUACCACUCAAGCUUGUGGACGCUUGAGUAAACUUUGGAUGACUAAUAGGUAACUAACUCCUGGUG
Long non-coding RNA from Bos taurus (domestic cattle), 403 nucleotides. The record is from Ensembl. NCBI's taxonomy places the organism in Eukaryota, Metazoa, Chordata, Mammalia, Artiodactyla, Bovidae.